ACGCGCGAAACCUUACCAGGUCUUGACAUCCUCUGACACUCCUAGAGAUAGGACGUUCCCCUUCGGGGGACAGAGUGACAGGUGGUGCAUGGUUGUCGUCAGCUCGUGUCGUGAGAUGUUGGGUUAAGUCCCGCAACGAGCGCAACCCUUGUUCUUAGUUGCCAUCAUUUAGUUGGGCACUCUAAGGAGACUGCCGGUGACAAACCGGAGGAAGGUGGGGAUGACGUCAAAUCAUCAUGCCCCUUAUGACCUGGGCUACACACGUGCUACAAUGGACGGUACAAACGGUUGCCAACCCGCGAGGGGGAGCUAAUCCGAUAAAACCGUUCUCAGUUCGGAUUGUAGGCUGCAACUCGCCUACAUGAAGCCGGAAUCGCUAGUAAUCGCGGAUCAGCAUGCCGCGGUGAAUACGUUCCCGGGCCUUGUACACACCGCCCGU
Molecule: ribosomal RNA, 439 nt
Filed under: uncultured bacterium
Lineage: Bacteria
Description: bacterial SSU rRNA
Rfam family: Bacterial small subunit ribosomal RNA
Source: RNAcentral